Long non-coding RNA from Amphimedon queenslandica, 433 nucleotides. RefSeq lists it as uncharacterized. The record is from RefSeq and is a predicted model, not a curated record. Lineage: Eukaryota; Metazoa; Porifera; Demospongiae; Haplosclerida; Niphatidae. The transcript has 4 exons.
UUUAUGGAUAUUAUAUACACUUACCUUUAUUUUUUUCUCUCUGCUUCAACUGUCAGAUUGCAGUAAGUGAAAAUGUCAAAAAUGUGCUUUAGUUAUCUUUUAUUUGGAACCAACUAACAAUUAUUACACUUGCUGCAAAAUAGAAAAUAAUUGUAAGCCAUAAUGUGAAUUAUUGGAUUUUAAAAAUAUAUCUUUUUCUAUUUUUUGCUAAAUUGAUUAAUUUUGAACUUUUUAAAACACAAUAGUUUGUAAGUCUUAAUUACUAUGCAUAUUUAUUGUUUAAUCUCUUUUUCUCAAUACCAACGGAACUGGUGUUUUUGUCACACUACAGAGAGUAAGUCAUGUAUUAUUGUUUUAAUAGAGUAUAAUGGUUCUUAUACCUUUAAUUUGUGUUUCUUUAUGAUCCAAUUAAUGAUAUUUAAACUAUGACACA